CCUACGGGGGGCAGCAGUGAGGAAUAUUGGUCAAUGGGCGCGAGUCUGAACCAGCCAAGUAGCGUGAAGGAUGACUGCCCUAUGGGUUGUAAACUUCUUUUAUAUGGGAAUAAAAUGUUCCACGUGUGCGUUUUUGUAUGUACCAUAUGAAUAAGGAUCGGCUAACUCCGUGCCAGCAGCCGCGGUAAUACGGAGGAUCCGAGCGUUAUCCGGAUUUAUUGGGUUUAAAGGGAGCGUAGGUGGAUUGUUAAGUCAGUUGUGAAAGUUUGCGGCUCAACCGUAAAAUUGCAGUUGAAACUGGCAGUCUUGAGUACAGUAGAGGUGGGCGGAAUUCGUGGUGUAGCGGUGAAAUGCUUAGAUAUCACGAAGAACUCCGAUUGCGAAGGCAGCUCACUGGACUGCAACUGACACUGAGGCUCGAAAGUGUGGGUAUCAAACAGGAUUAGAUACCCCAGUAGUC
This 460-nucleotide ribosomal RNA is filed under the name uncultured bacterium. RNAcentral describes it as "partial 16S ribosomal RNA". It matches the Rfam family "Bacterial small subunit ribosomal RNA", at positions 338 to 795 of the family's 1533-position model. The record is from RNAcentral.